Molecule: ribosomal RNA, 397 nt
Filed under: uncultured Neocallimastigomycetes
Lineage: Eukaryota; Fungi; Neocallimastigomycota; Neocallimastigomycetes
Description: eukaryotic LSU rRNA
Rfam family: Eukaryotic large subunit ribosomal RNA
Source: RNAcentral
GGUUUCCCUUUACGAAUUGUAGUUUAAAGAAGUGUUUUCUGCUGAGGUUUUGGUAAAAGUUCUUUGGAAUAGGACAUCAUAGAGGGUGAGAAUCCCGUAUUUGACCUUUACUUUCAACUUUGUGAUACACUUUCAAAGAGUCGGAUUGUUUGGGAAUGCAGUCCAAAAUGGGUGGUAAAUUUCAUCUAAAGCUAAAUAUUGGCGAGAGACCGAUAGCGAACAAGUACCGUGAGGGAAAGAUGAAAAGAACUUUGAAAAGAGAGUUAAACAGUACGUGAAAUUGUCAAAAGGGAAGCGUUUGACACCAGUGUUGUUUUUCUGAAAAUCAAUUAAAGAACUGUUUAUGCUAAGCUGUUUGGACUUUAUCAGCUAUCUGUUUAGUUUUGAGCUUUUCUUU